GAUGAACGCUGGCGGCGUGCCUAAUACAUGCAAGUCGAACGCUUCACUUCGGUGAAGAGUGGCGAACGGGUGAGUAAUACAUAAGUAACCUGGCAUCUACAGGGGGAUAACUGAUGGAAACGUCAGCUAAGACCGCAUAGGUGUAGAGAUCGCAUGAACUCUAUAUGAAAAGUGCUACGGGACUGGUAGAUGAUGGACUUAUGGCGCAUGAGCUUGUUGGUAGGGUAACGGCCUACCAAGGCGACGAUGCGUAGCCGACCUGAGAGGGUGACCGGCCACACUGGGACUGAGACACGGCCCAGACUCCUACGGGAGGCAGCAGUAGGGAAUUUUCGGCAAUGGGGGAAACCCUGACCGAGCAACGCCGCGUGAAGGAAGAAGUAAUUCGUUAUGUAAACUUCUGUCAUAGAGGAAGAACGGUGGAUAUAGGGAAUGAUAUCCAAGUGACGGUACUCUAUAAGAAAGCCACGGCUAACUACGUG
This 482-nucleotide ribosomal RNA is filed under the name uncultured bacterium. Its description in RNAcentral is "partial 16S ribosomal RNA". It matches the Rfam family "Bacterial small subunit ribosomal RNA", at positions 28 to 507 of the family's 1533-position model. The record is from RNAcentral.